ACGCCGCGUGAGUGAUGAAGGUUUUCGGAUCGUAAAGCUCUGUUGUUAGGGAAGAACAAGUGCCGUUCAAAUAGGGCGGCACCUUGACGGUACCUAACCAGAAAGCCACGGCUAACUACGUGCCAGCAGCCGCGGUAAUACGUAGGUGGCAAGCGUUGUCCGGAAUUAUUGGGCGUAAAGGGCUCGCAGGCGGUUUCUUAAGUCUGAUGUGAAAGCCCCCGGCUCAACCGGGGAGGGUCAUUGGAAACUGGGGAACUUGAGUGCAGAAGAGGAGAGUGGAAUUCCACGUGUAGCGGUGAAAUGCGUAGAGAUGUGGAGGAACACCAGUGGCGAAGGCGACUCUCUGGUCUGUAACUGACGCUGAGGAGCGAAAGCGUGGGGAGCGAACAGGAUUAGAUACCCUGGUAGUCCACGCCGUAAACGAUGAGUGCUAAGUGUUAGGGGGUUUCCGCCCCUUAGUGCUGCAGCUAACGCAUUAAGCACUCCGCCUGGGGAGUACGGUCGCAAGACUGAAACUCAAAGGAAUUGACGGGGGCCCGCACAAGCGGUGGAGCAUGUGGUUUAAUUCGAAGCAACGCGAAGAACCUUACCAGGUCUUGACAUCCUCUGACAAUCCUAGAGAUAGGACGUCCCCUUCGGGGGCAGAGUGACAGGUGGUGCAUGGUUGUCGUCAGCUCGUGUCGUGAGAUGUUGGGUUAAGUCCCGCAACGAGCGCAACCCUUGAUCUUAGUUGCCAGCAUUCAGUUGGGCACUCUAAGGUGACUGCCGGUGACAAACCGGAGGA
RNAcentral lists this ribosomal RNA (784 nucleotides) under Bacillus vallismortis. RNAcentral describes it as "bacterial SSU rRNA". It matches the Rfam family "Bacterial small subunit ribosomal RNA", at positions 394 to 1170 of the family's 1533-position model. Lineage: Bacteria; Bacillati; Bacillota; Bacilli; Caryophanales; Bacillaceae. The record is from RNAcentral.